Molecule: long non-coding RNA, 539 nt
Filed under: Salmo salar (Atlantic salmon)
Lineage: Eukaryota; Metazoa; Chordata; Actinopteri; Salmoniformes; Salmonidae
Description: lncRNA (ENSSSAG00000101845.1)
Source: RNAcentral
AGGGUUUUAUCCUCUACGUAGUCCAAGACAGGGUUUUAUCCUCUACGUAGUUCAAGACAGGGUUUUAUCCUCUACGUAUCCAAGACAGGGUUUUAUCCUGGUGUCUACGUAGUCCAAGACAGGGUUUUAUCCUCUACGUAGUCCAAGACAGGGUUUUAUCCUGGUGUCUACAUAGUUCUGUAGUCCAAGACAGGGUUUUAUCCUCUACGUAGUCCAAGACAGGGUUUUAUCCUGGUGUCUACAUAGUUCUGUAGUCCAAGACAGGGUUUUAUCCUCUACGUAGUCCUGUCUGUGUGUGUCUGAACUACUACCGUAGACUCUGGUCUCUCGUGUCCUCCAGGCUUGACCUCUAACCUGAAUGUAGGCCUGGACAUGGGGUCUGGUGUGGGCUGUAAGGAGCCUCAGUCUCGUCUGAAGAAAUGGACGGCCAUGGACGUUAACUCGCCUCUGGAGCGAAAACCUGGUGCCAUGUCGUCUGGGCUGCGUCUGGAAGAUUCUCCCUUCGGUCCGCACGACUUCCUGUCUGCUGGCUCCGCCCC